RNAcentral lists this unclassified non-coding RNA (195 nucleotides) under Glomeraceae sp. RNAcentral's name for it is "partial contains 5.8S ribosomal RNA and internal transcribed spacer 2". The stretch from base 1 to 71 matches the Rfam family "5.8S ribosomal RNA", at positions 84 to 154 of the family's 154-position model. The record is from RNAcentral. Lineage: Eukaryota; Fungi; Glomeromycota; Glomeromycetes; Glomerales; Glomeraceae.
GUGAAUCAUCGAAUCUUUGAACGCAAAUUGCACUCCCUGGUAUUCCGGGGAGCAUGCCUGUCUGAGGGUCGGUAGAAUAAUAAAUCGAUGCGUCGCUCUUUUUAUUAAUGGUGAUCGCGCUGGAAUUUAGCCGCCUGUCAAAUGUUAAUUAAUUUCAAAGUGGCUUGAAAUUCAUUCAUCCGGUACGAUUGAAGU